AAGCAAACCACAGCUCCUAUGACGCUGUGUCCCCAGGAGCUGGACGACAGGGGCCUGAGGACAAAGAGUGGUCAGAUGUCCUUACCCCAACUGCAAGAGUCUAUUUAUGGAAUUUCUGCCUUCGCCUAAGGUUAUAAAGAACAUUACCUGUUCUCUAGUUUCUGCAGGUUAAGCUGAAUAACGACCCACCACUGGAAAGUGGACAGAUGUCUUACAGCCCUGGAAAAUCAAAGCUGUAUUCCCUGGGAGAGCUCAGUGAGGUCACCCGGGCUUAUGAGAGAAAUUGUCCAGCAACACAGCAGCAGUCCCUUUGUCAUACCUUGGAUAAGUAAACUUUGACAUGUCCUAGAAGGAAUGCUAUUUGGCUUGGGAGAGAAGAUGGGGCGGGGAGGGUAUCUUCAGAUACUGGGCUGUCAUGUGCACGGGUGUUGCUUAUUGCUUCCAAAGGCAGAAUCAGGAGAAGGAUAGAAAAGGCUAGAUUUGACUCCACACAGAGAAGAGCUUCCUGACUGUCUGGACCAGCACUGUCCAAUAGAAGUAGAAGGUGAGUCACAUAUGUGACUUUAAAUUUUUCCAGUAGCCACAAUAAAGAAGUGAAAAAGGAAAACAGAUGACAUUAAUUUUAACAACACAGCUUAGUCAGCCCGGUCCAAAGUAUUAUCAGUUCAACGUGUCGUCAGUAUCAAAAAUACGAAUGAGCUAUUUUGCAUUCUUCCAUGCUCCGUCUUCAAACCCCAUGUGGAUUUUACACUCAGAGCACAGCUCAGUUUGGACUAGGCCCUUCCAAGGGCUCAUGGGCCAUGUGUGACUGGGGAAUAUCGGACAGCAGGGGUCGGGGUUGUCUCAGAGACAGGAGAGUCCUAUCAGUCGGAUAUGAUGGAAACCAAGUUAAAUAACCCCCAUCGAGGACACGGGGAGGAGUGCCCAUUCACUGAUUAUGUUAGGGACGGUUUUCCCGUCUCCCCUCCCCCUUACCUCGUCUCCACCUGACAGCAUCCGUGCCCUCUGCUCCCAUCCACCCAGAUUAGGGCUGUCAGCGCGGAUACGCCCUCUGGGAGAGAAGAGCAGUUUCCCUGGAGUCUCCUCACUUUCUGUGUGGUUGGGGAUUUUUAAAACAACCUGCAGUGCUCAUCUAAGUAAGGGAAGCUUCCACACCGCAGUGGGAACGACAGGGCGCUUUUAUCCAAGCAUCAAAGACAAGCUGAAACCAAUGUGGAAACUUCCUUGAUUUGAAGGACUGACUGAGUCUCCUGGAUCAGUCGAGAUGGUGAGAAACCAGCAGUUCUUCGGACGUAUUUUCAAGAAACGAGUGAACUUUAGUGAUCACACUGUGUGCGCCCACCUGGCCAGAGUCCGUGCAUCCUGGGUAUGAAUCAUGAUUUUUCUCCGGGGUGGAGCUGUAGGAAAAGGCUUCAUUCUGAAUAAAAGGGGCACCAGGCCAUUUUCCA
RNAcentral lists this long non-coding RNA (1448 nucleotides) under Ursus maritimus (polar bear). RNAcentral's name for it is "lncRNA (ENSUMAG00000012649.1)". Lineage: Eukaryota; Metazoa; Chordata; Mammalia; Carnivora; Ursidae. The record is from RNAcentral.